UUGCUGCUUUGCUGACGAGUGGCGGACGGGUGAGUAAUGUCUGGGAAACUGCCUGAUGGAGGGGGAUAACUACUGGAAACGGUAGCUAAUACCGCAUAACGUCGCAAGACCAAAGAGGGGGACCUUCGGGCCUCUUGCCAUCGGAUGUGCCCAGAUGGGAUUAGCUAGUAGGUGGGGUAACGGCUCACCUAGGCGACGAUCCCUAGCUGGUCUGAGAGGAUGACCAGCCACACUGGAACUGAGACACGGUCCAGACUCCUACGGGAGGCAGCAGUGGGGAAUAUUGCACAAUGGGCGCAAGCCUGAUGCAGCCAUGCCGCGUGUAUGAAGAAGGCCUUCGGGUUGUAAAGUACUUUCAGCGGGGAGGAAGGCGAUAAGGUUAAUAACCUUGUCGAUUGACGUUACCCGCAGAAGAAGCACCGGCUAACUCCGUGCCAGCAGCCGCGGUAAUACGGAGGGUGCAAGCGUUAAUCGGAAUUACUGGGCGUAAAGCGCACGCAGGCGGUCUGUCAAGUCGGAUGUGAAAUCCCCGGGCUCAACCUGGGAACUGCAUUCGAAACUGGCAGGCUAGAGUCUUGUAGAGGGGGGUAGAAUUCCAG
Molecule: ribosomal RNA, 599 nt
Filed under: Enterobacter hormaechei subsp. steigerwaltii
Lineage: Bacteria; Pseudomonadati; Pseudomonadota; Gammaproteobacteria; Enterobacterales; Enterobacteriaceae
Description: bacterial SSU rRNA
Rfam family: Bacterial small subunit ribosomal RNA
Source: RNAcentral